UACGUAGGGUGCAAGCGUUAAUCGGAAUUACUGGGCGUAAAGCGUGCGCAGGCGGUUUUGUAAGACAGAUGUGAAAUGCCCGGGCUCAACCUGGGAACUGCAUUUGUGACUGCAUGGCUAGAGUGUGUCAGAGGGGGGUAGAAUUCCACGUGUAGCAGUGAAAUGCGUAGAUAUGUGGAGGAAUACCGAUGGCGAAGGCAGCCCCCUGGGAUGACACUGACGCUCAUGCACGAAAGCGUGGGGAGCAAACAGG
This 253-nucleotide ribosomal RNA is filed under the name uncultured bacterium. RNAcentral's name for it is "partial 16S ribosomal RNA". It matches the Rfam family "Bacterial small subunit ribosomal RNA", at positions 524 to 776 of the family's 1533-position model. The record is from RNAcentral.